AAGAACUAAAACAAUCAAAAGCCCAAAUGAAUUGCAAAUAAAUGUCAAAACCAUCAUUUCAAGUGUAUGAUUUACCUUCGACUGCGCAUUCCACAAUCCACAAACCCGAAAGACGCCCUUGUUCCUAUGUUUUUCGGCCUGCUUGACACCUGGUGGGAAAUAUUUUGGUGUAACGCCAUGACAACACACAUGUCCAAUCUUGACGAGAAAACCUUCCAUCUGUUCAAUCCCUCUCCUUCCUCUCUUCUAUCCAUAGAAUUUUUUUAUAUUUUAUUUUUUUAACGAAGUGAUUUAUUUUAUUGCUACAACUAAUGACGUUUUUUAAAAUGAAGUAAUGCUAAUAAAAUUUAGUUUGCUGUACAAUUUUGUUUCUAAUAUUAAUAACUCAAAGCAGAAGUAUGUUUUUUUUCUUUUUGCCUGAUAUCAUUAACUCAAAGAAGAAAUAUGUUUUUUUUUUCUUUGAUCAACUUGCAUGAAUGGAUUUAUAAUUGACUAAUCCUUCUUCAAAGAACAUAUCAAGGAAGAACACAAACUUAAUCUCAUGUACAAAAGUACUCUUUUGGCA
RNAcentral lists this long non-coding RNA (565 nucleotides) under Prunus persica (peach). Its description in RNAcentral is "long non-coding RNA (PPER_LNC003712)". Lineage: Eukaryota; Viridiplantae; Streptophyta; Magnoliopsida; Rosales; Rosaceae. The record is from RNAcentral.